RNAcentral lists this non-coding RNA (61 nucleotides) under unclassified sequences. RNAcentral's name for it is "freshwater-1 RNA". It matches the Rfam family "freshwater-1 RNA". From Rfam's summary of the family: Freshwater and estuary metagenome. Environment (Freshwater) The record is from Rfam by way of RNAcentral.
UGUUCAGGUCCUGCUCUGCUGUGCACGGCAACAGGUGAUGGGGAACAAACCAUCUAGAAAA